AAGAGGACGUUGCCCUUCGGGGUAUACCUCCCACCCUUUGUUUAUUAUACCUUUGUUGCUUUGGCGGGCCCGUCCUCGGACCACCGGCUUCUGCUGGUCAGUGCCCGCCAGAGGACCUAAAACUCUGUUUGUUAAUAUUGUCUGAGUACUAUAUAAUAGUUA
Molecule: unclassified non-coding RNA, 162 nt
Filed under: soil metagenome
Description: partial internal transcribed spacer 1
Source: RNAcentral